Molecule: ribosomal RNA, 253 nt
Filed under: uncultured bacterium
Lineage: Bacteria
Description: partial 16S ribosomal RNA
Rfam family: Bacterial small subunit ribosomal RNA
Source: RNAcentral
UACGUAGGGGGCAAGCGUUGUCCGGAUUUAUUGGGCGUAAAGAGCGCGUAGGCGGCCAGAUAAGUCCGGUGUGAAAGUCAAAGGCUCAACCUUUGAAUGCCGCUGGAAACUGUCUGGCUAGAGUCCGGGAGGGGCGAGUGGAAUUCCUGGUGUAGCGGUGAAAUGCGCAGAUAUCAGGAAGAACACCCGUGGCGAAGGCGGCUCUCUGGGACGGUACUGACGCUGAGGCACGAAAGCGUGGGGAGCAAACAGG